GAUCAUGGCUCAGAUUGAACGCUGGCGGCAUGCUUUACACGUGCAAGUCGAACGGCAGCGCGGGGAGCUUGCUCCCUGGCGGCGAGUGGCGCACGGGUGAGUAAUACAUCGGAACGUGUCUUCUAGUGGGGGAUAACUGCCCGAAAGGGCAGCUAAUACCGCAUGAGAUCUGAGGGUGAAAGCGGGGGAUCGCAAGACCUCGCGCUGGAAGAGCGGCCGAUGUCCGA
Molecule: ribosomal RNA, 227 nt
Filed under: uncultured bacterium
Lineage: Bacteria
Description: partial 16S ribosomal RNA
Rfam family: Bacterial small subunit ribosomal RNA
Source: RNAcentral